UGGGUUUCCCUCGAAUAACGCCUGAAAAAGUUACUAAAAUACUAUGAUAUGAAUAGAUCAAGAGGAUACUUUUCAAACAAUCAUGGCCCAAACCAAGCAAUUUUAGUUCUUCCAUUGAAACAAAGUCAAUAAGCUGAUACACGCUUCAACAAACAAAAUUGAAGAAUAGAUUCAUAAAAGCCAAUGAAUUUAGGUAUUAAUCGUUCAUGAUCAAAUGCCAUUAACCAUCAUCCUCCCCACAUUAUGAAAAGUAACAGAACCCUCGAAAAACCCUAAAUUGAUUUCACUGAAUCUCUGCUGUUAUCUAAGAGAGAUCUCUCCAAAGGUUUAUCAGAAGGAAAAAAAAUGGAACUUUUUAAAUUGAAACAAGGAAGGAAAUGGUGAGAACCUGGAUAACGUCUUCAACACGAU
This is a long non-coding RNA of Arabidopsis thaliana (thale cress), 411 nucleotides long. RefSeq annotates it as other RNA. The transcript has a single exon. The record is from RefSeq. Lineage: Eukaryota; Viridiplantae; Streptophyta; Magnoliopsida; Brassicales; Brassicaceae.